RNAcentral lists this ribosomal RNA (264 nucleotides) under uncultured bacterium. RNAcentral's name for it is "partial 16S ribosomal RNA". It matches the Rfam family "Bacterial small subunit ribosomal RNA", at positions 78 to 342 of the family's 1533-position model. The record is from RNAcentral.
GCUUGCUGUUUCGCUGACGAGUGGCGGACGGGUGAGUAAUGUCUGGGAAACUGCCUGAUGGAGGGGGAUAACUACUGGAAACGGUAGCUAAUACCGCAUAACGUCGCAAGACCAAAGAGGGGGACCUUCGGGCCUCUUGCCAUCGGAUGUGCCCAGAUGGGAUUAGCUUGUUGGUGGGGUAAAGGCUCACCAAGGCGACGAUCCCUAGCUGGUCUGAGAGGAUGACCAGCCACACUGGAACUGAGACACGGUCCAGACUCCUAC